CUGGGCGUUAAGUUGCAGGGUAUAGACCCGAAACCCGGUGAUCUAGCCAUGGGCAGGUUGAAGGUUGGGUAACACUAACUGGAGGACCGAACCGACUAAUGUUGAAAAAUUAGCGGAUGACUUGUGGCUGGGGGUGAAAGGCCAAUCAAACCGGGAGAUAGCUGGUUCUCCCCGAAAGCUAUUUAGGUAGCGCCUCGUGAAUUCAUCUCCGGGGGUAGAGCACUGUUUCGGCAAGGGGGUCAUCCCGACUUACCAACCCGAUGCAAACUGCGAAUACCGGAGAAUGUUAUCACGGGAGACACACGGCGGGUGCUAACGUCCGUCGUGAAGAGGGAAACAACCCAGACCGCCAGCUAAGGUCCCAAAGUCAUGGUUAAGUGGGAAACGAUGUGGGAAGGCCCAGACAGCCAGGAUGUUGGCUUAGAAGCAGCCAUCAUUUAAAGAAAGCGUAAUAGCUCACUGGUCGAGUCGGCCUGCGCGGAAGAUGUAACGGGGCUAAACCAUGCACCGAAGCUGCGGCAGCGACGCUGAUGCGUUGUUGGGUAGGGGAGCGUUCUGUAAGCCUGUGAAGGUGUGCUGUGAGGCAUGCUGGAGGUAUCAGAAGUGCGAAUGCUGACAUAAGUAACGAUAAAGCGGGUGAAAAGCCCGCUCGCCGGAAGACCAAGGGUUCCUGUCCAACGUUAAUCGGGGCAGGGUGAGUCGACCCCUAAGGCGAGGCCGAAAGGCGUAGUCGAUGGGAAACAGGUUAAUAUUCCUGUACUUGGUGUUACUGCGAAGGGGGGACGGAGAAGGCUAUGUUGGCCGGGCGACGGUUGUCCCGGUUUAAGCGUGUAGGCUGGUUUUCCAGGCAAAUCCGGAAAAUCAAGGCUGAGGCGUGAUGACGAGGCACUACGGUGCUGAAGCAACAAAUGCCCUGCUUCCAGGAAAAGCCUCUAAGCAUCAGGUAACAUCAAAUCGUACCCCAAACCGACACAGGUGGUCAGGUAGAGAAUACCAAGGCGCUUGAGAGAACUCGGGUGAAGGAACUAGGCAAAAUGGUGCCGUAACUUCGGGAGAAGGCACGCUGAUAUGUAGGUGAAGCGACUUGCUCGUGGAGCUGAAAUCAGUCGAAGAUACCAGCUGGCUGCAACUGUUUAUUAAAAACACAGCACUGUGCAAACACGAAAGUGGACGUAUACGGUGUGACGCCUGCCCGGUGCCGGAAGGUUAAUUGAUGGGGUCAGCGCAAGCGAAGCUCUUGAUCGAAGCCCCGGUAAACGGCGGCCGUAACUAUAACGGUCCUAAGGUAGCGAAAUUCCUUGUCGGGUAAGUUCCGACCUGCACGAAUGGCGUAAUGAUGGCCAGGCUGUCUCCACCCGAGACUCAGUGAAAUUGAACUCGCUGUGAAGAUGCAGUGUACCCGCGGCAAGACGGAAAGACCCCGUGAACCUUUACUAUAGCUUGACACUGAACAUUGAGCCUUGAUGUGUAGGAUAGGUGGGAGGCUUUGAAGUGUGGACGCCAGUCUGCAUGGAGCCGGCCUUGAAAUACCACCCUUUAAUGUUUGAUGUUCUAACGUUGACCCGUGAUCCGGGUUGCGGACAGUGUCUGGUGGGUAGUUUGACUGGGGCGGUCUCCUCCUAAAGAGUAACGGAGGAGCACGAAGGUUGGCUAAUCCUGGUCGGACAUCAGGAGGUUAGUGCAAUGGCAUAAGCCAGCUUGACUGCGAGCGUGACGGCGCGAGCAGGUGCGAAAGCAGGUCAUAGUGAUCCGGUGGUUCUGAAUGGAAGGGCCAUCGCUCAACGGAUAAAAGGUACUCCGGGGAUAACAGGCUGAUACCGCCCAAGAGUUCAUAUCGACGGCGGUGUUUGGCACCUCGAUGUCGGCUCAUCACAUCCUGGGGCUGAAGUAGGUCCCAAGGGUAUGGCUGUUCGCCAUUUAAAGUGGUACGCGAGCUGGGUUUAGAACGUCGUGAGACAGUUCGGUCCCUAUCUGCCGUGGGCGCUGGAGAACUGAGGGGGGCUGCUCCUAGUACGAGAGGACCGGAGUGGACGCAUCACUGGUGUUCGGGUUGUCAUGCCAAUGGCACUGCCCGGUAGCUAAAUGCGGAAGAGAUAAGUGCUGAAAGCAUCUAAGCACGAAACUUGCCCCGAGAUGAGUUCUCCCUGACUCCUUGAGAGUCCUGAAGGAACGUUGAAGACGACGACGUUGAUAGGCCGGGUGUGUAAGCGCAGCGAUGCGUUGAGCUAACCGGUACUAAUGAACCGUGAG
This 2250-nucleotide ribosomal RNA is filed under the name Escherichia coli. RNAcentral describes it as "partial 23S ribosomal RNA". It matches the Rfam family "Bacterial large subunit ribosomal RNA", at positions 688 to 2915 of the family's 2925-position model. Lineage: Bacteria; Pseudomonadati; Pseudomonadota; Gammaproteobacteria; Enterobacterales; Enterobacteriaceae. The record is from RNAcentral.